UAAUACAUGCAAGUCGAGCGGACAGAUGGGAGCUUGCUCCCUGAUGUUAGCGGCGGACGGGUGAGUAACACGUGGGUAACCUGCCUGUAAGACUGGGAUAACUCCGGGAAACCGGGGCUAAUACCGGAUGGUUGUUUGAACCGCAUGGUUCAGACAUAAAAGGUGGCUUCGGCUACCACUUACAGAUGGACCCGCGGCGCAUUAGCUAGUUGGUGAGGUAACGGCUCACCAAGGCGACGAUGCGUAGCCGACCUGAGAGGGUGAUCGGCCACACUGGGACUGAGACACGGCCCAGACUCCUACGGGAGGCAGCAGUAGGGAAUCUUCCGCAAUGGACGAAAGUCUGACGGAGCAACGCCGCGUGAGUGAUGAAGGUUUUCGGAUCGUAAAGCUCUGUUGUUAGGGAAGAACAAGUGCCGUUCAAAUAGGGCGGCACCUUGACGGUACCUAACCAGAAAGCCACGGCUAACUACGUGCCAGCAGCCGCGGUAAUACGUAGGUGGCAAGCGUUGUCCGGAAUUAUUGGGCGUAAAGGGCUCGCAGGCGGUUUCUUAAGUCUGAUGUGAAAGCCCCCGGCUCAACCGGGGAGGGUCAUUGGAAACUGGGGAACUUGAGUGCAGAAGAGGAGAGUGGAAUUCCACGUGUAGCGGUGAAAUGCGUAGAGAUGUGGAGGAACACCAGUGGCGAAGGCGACUCUCUGGUCUGUAACUGACGCUGAGGAGCGAAAGCGUGGGGAGCGAACAGGAUUAGAUACCCUGGUAGUCCACGCCGUAAACGAUGAGUGCUAAGUGUUAGGGGGUUUCCGCCCCUUAGUGCUGCAGCUAACGCAUUAAGCACUCCGCCUGGGGAGUACGGUCGCAAGACUGAAACUCAAAGGAAUUGACGGGGGCCCGCACAAGCGGUGGAGCAUGUGGUUUAAUUCGAAGCAACGCGAAGAACCUUACCAGGUCUUGACAUCCUCUGACAAUCCUAGAGAUAGGACGUCCCCUUCGGGGGCAGAGUGACAGGUGGUGCAUGGUUGUCGUCAGCUCGUGUCGUGAGAUGUUGGGUUAAGUCCCGCAACGAGCGCAACCCUUGAUCUUAGUUGCCAGCAUUCAGUUGGGCACUCUAAGGUGACUGCCGGUGACAAACCGGAGGAAUGGUGGGGGAUGACGUCAAAUCAUCAUGCCCCUUAUGACCUGGGCUACACACGUGCUACAAUGGACAGAACAAAGGGCAGCGAAACCGCGAGGUUAAGCCAAUCCCACAAAUCUGUUCUCAGUUCGGAUCGCAGUCUGCACUCGACUGCGUGAAGCUGGAAUCGCUAGUAAUC
This 1312-nucleotide ribosomal RNA is filed under the name Bacillus velezensis. RNAcentral describes it as "bacterial SSU rRNA". It matches the Rfam family "Bacterial small subunit ribosomal RNA", at positions 49 to 1343 of the family's 1533-position model. Lineage: Bacteria; Bacillati; Bacillota; Bacilli; Caryophanales; Bacillaceae. The record is from RNAcentral.